GCUUUCCGUGACAGAACAACUGCAAUAUUCCACGGAGAAGUUGGAUUUCCAUGGAAUAACAACACAUUUGUACGGAGAAGGUGCAAGUUUCUACGGAGAAGGGUUGGCCCGUAUGGGCCACCGUAGUGGCCUGACGUGAGCGAGUUAAAAUUUUCGUGGACGUCAAACAAUAAGGGAAACGACUAGAGUUACGCUUCUGGUAUAACUUCCUAUUCUGUGCUGUAAAGAUGUGUCACUCUGCGAAAUUUAUGUCCGAGAUUUUUUAUAGCCGCCAUUUUGCCAGUAAGUGUCAAAUUCAACGCCAUCAGUCUCGCCGCCAUUUUGGCAGUAAGUGAAAAUUACGGACACGCAAACAUUAGGGAAAUACGUCGAGUGACACAUCUUUAUAGUAUCUAAUCUUUGGCGUGAGCGAGUUAAAAUUUUCGUGGACGUCAAACAAUAAGGAAAAUGACUAGAGUUACGCUUCUGCUAUAACUUCCUAUUCUGUGCUCUGGGGA
Non-coding RNA from Paramuricea clavata, 497 nucleotides. The record is from the annotation of a GenBank genome assembly. NCBI's taxonomy places the organism in Eukaryota, Metazoa, Cnidaria, Anthozoa, Malacalcyonacea, Plexauridae.